UCUUAUGGGCGGGCCUUGAUGGGGAGGCCUUCGGGCCUGCCGGUUUGGUAACGGCCGCCAACCUUGUCACUGUGCCCGCUCACCACC
This 87-nucleotide non-coding RNA is filed under the name Burkholderia sp. WP9. RNAcentral also lists the same sequence under 2 other names. Lineage: Bacteria; Pseudomonadati; Pseudomonadota; Betaproteobacteria; Burkholderiales; Burkholderiaceae. The record is from RNAcentral.